ACGGCUCAGUAACACGUAGUCAACCUAACCUAUGGACGGGAAUAACCUCGGGAAACUGAGAAUAAUGCCCGAUAGAACACUAUACCUGGAAUGGUUUGUGUUCCAAAUGAUUUAUCGCCAUAGGAUGGGACUGCGGCCUAUCAGUUUGUUGGUGAGGUAAUGGCCCACCAAGACUAUUACAGGUACGGGCUCUGAGAGGAGUAGCCCGGAGAUGGGUACUGAGACACGGACCCAGGCCCUAUGGGGCGCAGCAGGCGAGAAAACUUUGCAAUGUGCGAAAGCACGACAAGGUUAAUCCGAGUGAUUUGUGCUAAACGAAUCUUUUGUUAGUCCUAGAAACACUAACGAAUAAGGGGUGGGCAAGUUCUGGUGUCAGCCGCCGCGGUAAAACCAGCACCUCAAGUGGUCAGGAUGAUUAUUGGGCCUAAAGCAUCCGUAGCCGGCUCURUAAGUUUUCGGUUAAAUCUGUACGCUUAACGUACAGGCUGCCGGGAAUACUGCAGAGCUAGGGAGUGGGAGAGGUAGACGGUACUCGGUAGGAAGUGGUAAAAUGCUUUGAUCUAUCGAUGACCACCUGUGGCGAAGGCGGUCUACCAGAACACGUCCGACGGUGAGGGAUGAAAGCUGGGGGAGCAAACCGGAUUAGAUACCCGGGUAGUCCCAGCUGUAAACUAUGCAAACUCAGUGAUGCAUUGGCUUGUGGCCAAUGCAGUGCUGCAGGGAAGCCGUUAAGUUUGCCGCCUGGGAAGUACGUACGCAAGUAUGAAACUUAAAGGAAUUGGCGGGGGAGCAC
RNAcentral lists this ribosomal RNA (793 nucleotides) under uncultured archaeon. RNAcentral describes it as "bacterial SSU rRNA". It matches the Rfam family "Archaeal small subunit ribosomal RNA", at positions 85 to 879 of the family's 1478-position model. The record is from RNAcentral.